GUUGCAAAAAUAAAUACGAGAAUGCUGAUUUCAUCUAGACUCGGUGUAGAAAAUUAUCCAUUUGCCUGUAUACGUAUACGUAGAAUUCCAGAUUUAAAGAUCGACUCUUGUUUUAUGUAUGUUCAUACAUGAUGAGAUGUGACACUGGAAGCCAUCCUCAAUAUGAAUAUUACAGAAGCGAGCCACUCUUCUAUCUCUUCAUCAAACACUGCUUCUCUCAUUAAAGAAGAAGAUCUGUCAGAAUAUGAGGAAGGUGGUGAUGACGAUUUGGGAUGGAUUGAAGAGGAGGAUAGCGGUGGAGAAUACACGGCUGACAGACACCCUCUGGAAGAAGGUCAUGGUCAAAGUCAAGGUCAAGAAAAGAAAAGAGGUCUCAGCCACACUUCACUGACGCCUGAAACUAUUCUUGCAAUGGAAGCAGCAAGUUUGGAAAGACAAGAUUCUCUGACUAAUGGUCGAAGCUCGUCAUCCGGUCAAAGAGGAAGUGACCUGCACCCCGAGCAGAAGGUUCCUGGAGCGAGAAUGUCAAUUGGUACCACGGGAAUAUCAAGUCCUUUAAGAGCUUUUCAGAAUGGGUUUGGCCAUUGCAGCGAGGGUGACUCUGGGGGCCCUUCUCUCUACUAUUGUGGGGAAUGCAGUAGGUUCCCAACUGAUUGCAAAUGCUAUGCCAGGCAUGUAAGGGGUCAUGCAGGAGCCGGAGAUGUAGAAAAGGAGAGAGGACAAAGAGACACAAAGGAUAUUAUGCAGGAACAAUAUGAAGAGAGAUCUGUGAUUGAAGGCGAUGAUUCAGAAGUCUGGAAGCAAUCAGGGUUGAGGUCUAGAGGAAGGGUGCCUUCCAAAUUCCAGAAUGGUGCGGAAACUAGUGCUGAUAAUGAAGAUGAUGCAGUCGAGAGAAGAAAACAGCUUGUUCUGAAAGAAAAUGAUCACAUUGAUAUCUGUGAUGGUAAUGGUUCUUCUGGAGCCAUUACCAACAACCCCAAAGUAAACAAAAGAUGUCAAGUUCGGAUGGGACGGCCAGUGAAAGACAAAUCUCGAUUACAGUGUCCGCAGUGUGGCCGUGGCUUCAAGAGAAAACCAGACCUUGAACGCCACUUCCGUGUUCACUCGGGCGAGAAACCCUUUGCCUGUGAACUCUGCGACAUGCGCUUCACCCGUAACUUUGGACUGCGCUGCCACAUGAGAACGCAUGCAGGGCUGAAGAUUCACACGUGCGGCACCUGUGGCAAAUCGUACAGCCGGCGUUACGACCUGGCGAAGCACGAGAAAGCCGUUCACACUGGGGAACUCAACCACAUUUGCUGUGAAUGCGACAAACGGUUUGUCACUGCGCAGCUCCUCCGUGUCCACAAGCGGACGCACACCAACUCGCAGCCGUACCUCUGCCAGGAAUGUGGCCACAGGAGUAACCAUCGCAGCGACCUCAAGAAGCACAUGAGGGUCCACACCAACGAGAGACCUUAUUGCUGUUCGAUCUGUAAGAAAAGCUUCCUACAGAGUGGGUGUUUGGCCAGUCACAUGUCACAUUCUCACAGCAAGUAAAGUCCUACAAAACCACCACAGUGGUUUAUCAUGUGAAUGGAAUGGGGCGUACACAUACCACCCUGCACACGUCAGGUCAGCUUGGAUUGUACUGAAGGCAAGCAAGAACUAUUCAAGAACUCAUUCUGCUUCUUUGUACUGCCACACCUUGUAAAUCCUCCGUUUGUUAGCUACGUCAUUCCAGCCGGAUCAUGGAUGGAGUAAAAAUCAUGGCCA
This 1755-nucleotide unclassified non-coding RNA is filed under the name Lytechinus variegatus (green sea urchin). RNAcentral's name for it is "zinc finger protein 551-like, transcript variant X3". The record is from RNAcentral. Lineage: Eukaryota; Metazoa; Echinodermata; Echinoidea; Temnopleuroida; Toxopneustidae.